AUUGAACGCUGGCGGCAGGCCUAACACAUGCAAGUCGAGCGGAUGACGGGAGCUUGCUCCUUGAUUCAGCGGCGGACGGGUGAGUAAUGCCUAGGAAUCUGCCUGGUAGUGGGGGACAACGUUUCGAAAGGUACGCUAAUACCGCAUACGUCCUACGGGAGAAAGCAGGGGACCUUCGGGCCUUGCGCUAUCAGAUGAGCCUAGGUCGGAUUAGCUAGUUGGUGGGGUAAUGGCUCACCAAGGCGACGAUCCGUAACUGGUCUGAGAGGAUGAUCAGUCACACUGGAACGGGGACACGGUCCAGACUGCUACGGGAGGCAGCAGUGGGGAAUAUUGGACAAUGGGCGAAAGCCUGAUCCAGCCAUGCCGCGUGUGUGAAGAAGGUCUUCGGAUUGUAAAGCACUUUAAGUUGGGAGGAAGGGCAGUAAGCUAAUACCUUGCUGUUUUGACGUUACCGACAGAAUAAGCACCGGCUAACUCUGUGCCAGCCGCCGCGGUAA
RNAcentral lists this ribosomal RNA (500 nucleotides) under uncultured bacterium. RNAcentral describes it as "partial 16S ribosomal RNA". It matches the Rfam family "Bacterial small subunit ribosomal RNA", at positions 30 to 523 of the family's 1533-position model. The record is from RNAcentral.